CUUGAAGUCUUCACCCUAGCUUUGUUAGGUACUUUAGUGUUUCCACUAGAAGAAAGACAUAUUAAUACCCGUUUGCAAUCUGUGGUGAUGGCCCUAUUUCAUAAGGAUCAAAACGACAAGGGCAUUAAUCAAAAGGGCAGGUUCACUCUCAUACCCAUGAUCUUAACAAAAAUAUAUAAGGCUUUAACCGAAGUGAAGGG
This 200-nucleotide long non-coding RNA is filed under the name Capsicum annuum. RNAcentral describes it as "long non-coding RNA (CANN_LNC017882)". Lineage: Eukaryota; Viridiplantae; Streptophyta; Magnoliopsida; Solanales; Solanaceae. The record is from RNAcentral.